GGUGCCGUGGUGAAGUGGUAACACGGCGGUCUGCAAAACCGCUACGCAGGGGUUCGAAUCCCCUCGGCACCUCCA
Molecule: transfer RNA, 75 nt
Filed under: Candidatus Uhrbacteria bacterium CG10_big_fil_rev_8_21_14_0_10_48_11
Lineage: Bacteria; Candidatus Uhriibacteriota
Description: tRNA-Cys
Rfam family: tRNA
About the family: Transfer RNA (tRNA) molecules are approximately 80 nucleotides in length. Their secondary structure includes four short double-helical elements and three loops (D, anti-codon, and T loops).
Source: RNAcentral